UAUAUUAUAGGUUAAUCCUGCUCUAUGAAUAAUAUUAUGUUUAAAUGGCCGCAGUAAACUGACUGUGCUAAGGUAGCAUAAUAAAUUGGCCUUUAAUUGGGGUCUGGCAUGAAUGGAUAAUAUAUGUGAUUACUGUCUUUAUUAUAUUUUUUUGAAAUUACUUAAUAGGUGAAAAUUCCUAUAAUUAACAUUGAAAGACGAGAAGACCCUUAGAAUUAUAAAUAAAAUAUAUAUUGUAUACACUUUUUUUGUUGGGGCGACAUAUUUUCAUAUAACAUAAUAUAUAUAAAUUAUCACAAGACUAAAGUGAUUAGUAAGAAAUAAUUACCUGAGGGAUAACAGCAUAAUAUAAUAAUAUGUUUAUGACCUCGAUGUUGGACUAGGUUAAAUAAUAACAAGCAGUUAUUAUUAAUUGUUCUGUUCGAACACUCUCA
This 434-nucleotide ribosomal RNA is filed under the name Anguispira alternata. RNAcentral describes it as "partial large subunit ribosomal RNA". The stretch from base 1 to 182 matches the Rfam family "Archaeal large subunit ribosomal RNA", at positions 1934 to 2143 of the family's 2987-position model. The record is from RNAcentral. Lineage: Eukaryota; Metazoa; Mollusca; Gastropoda; Stylommatophora; Discidae.